AUAAGAUUAAGUUAGAUAGACUAAAUGUUUUCAAAACAUUAAGCGAUGUUUUUUCAUCAUCUUAUG
Molecule: transfer RNA, 66 nt
Filed under: Acanthobothrium sp. MZUSP 7998
Lineage: Eukaryota; Metazoa; Platyhelminthes; Cestoda; Tetraphyllidea; Onchobothriidae
Description: tRNA-Trp
Source: RNAcentral